GGAGAUUUAGCUCAGUGGUAGAGCGCUUGCCUAGCAAGCGCAAGGCCCUGAGUUCGGUCCUCAGCUCUG
Molecule: transfer RNA, 69 nt
Filed under: Neotoma lepida (desert woodrat)
Lineage: Eukaryota; Metazoa; Chordata; Mammalia; Rodentia; Cricetidae
Rfam family: tRNA
About the family: Transfer RNA (tRNA) molecules are approximately 80 nucleotides in length. Their secondary structure includes four short double-helical elements and three loops (D, anti-codon, and T loops).
Source: Rfam by way of RNAcentral